RNAcentral lists this ribosomal RNA (463 nucleotides) under Streptococcus sanguinis. RNAcentral's name for it is "bacterial SSU rRNA". It matches the Rfam family "Bacterial small subunit ribosomal RNA", at positions 28 to 474 of the family's 1533-position model. The record is from RNAcentral. Lineage: Bacteria; Bacillati; Bacillota; Bacilli; Lactobacillales; Streptococcaceae.
GACGAACGCUGGCGGCGUGCCUAAUACAUGCAAGUAGAACGCUGAAGAGAGGAGCUUGCUCUUCUUGGAUGAGUUGCGAACGGGUGAGUAACGCGUAGGUAACCUGCCUGGUAGCGGGGGAUAACUAUUGGAAACGAUAGCUAAUACCGCAUGAUAUUAAUUGUCGCAUGAUAAUUAAUUGAAAGAUGCAAUUGCAUCACUACCAGAUGGACCUGCGUUGUAUUAGCUAGUUGGUGAGGUAACGGCUCACCAAGGCGACGGUACAUAGCCGACCUGAGAGGGUGAUCGGCCACACUGGGACUGAGACACGGCCCAGACUCCUACGGGAGGCAGCAGUAGGGAAUCUUCGGCAAUGGGGGGAACCCUGACCGAGCAACGCCGCGUGAGUGAAGAAGGUUUUCGGAUCGUAAAGCUCUGUUGUAAGAGAAGAACGGGUGUGAGAGUGGAAAGUUCACACUGGACG